This 253-nucleotide ribosomal RNA is filed under the name uncultured bacterium. RNAcentral describes it as "partial 16S ribosomal RNA". It matches the Rfam family "Bacterial small subunit ribosomal RNA", at positions 524 to 776 of the family's 1533-position model. The record is from RNAcentral.
UACGUAGGUGGCAAGCGUUGUCCGGAUUUACUGGGCGUAAAGAGCGCGCAGGCGGUCGUUCAAGUCGAGUGUGAAAGCCCCCGGCUCAACUGGGGAGGGUCACUCGAUACUGAUCGACUCGAAGGCAGAAGAGGGAAGCGGAAUUCCCGGUGUAGUGGUGAAAUGCGUAGAUAUCGGGAGGAACACCAGUGGCGAAGGCGGCUUUCUGGACAGUGACUGACGCUGAGACGCGAAAGCGUGGGGAGCAAACAGG